AGAGGUGAAAGACUGGCAGAAACUAAAUAUUAGAAAGUGAGUGAAGGCAAUCUGCUGGAGAAGAGUGAAUGCAUAGAGAGGAUUUGGUCUUUGUGGGGAAAAGGACCCUCUGACACUCCUGCUGCAAGGGUACAAGAAUUCCAAUGCCUUGAACAAGGGGAGAACCAUGAACACCACAAAUGUUGGCUACAAAUUCACAGCAUGGUUUUGGAUGUAUUUAUUUCUUUGCUGGAGGAUUCUGUCUAUGGAUGACAUCAGCUUUACAAAUGAAAGGAACUACAGAGAACCUUUAAUUCAAUCUACUUAUUCUUCAGAUGAGCAGUAAGAAACUGAGGCCCACAAGAGGGGAAGGAGAAAGCCUGAAGGCACCCAGGAGUGUGAGCGGCAGAGCUGGGAAUAUGAACCCAAGACUUACUAUUCCAUAAAUUCUGGGCAACACUGCCUCUUCUAAGACGUGUCACUGAUCUAGUAACAGUUUCUGGGCAGUUGGAUAGUGCAAUGGAUCGAGUGCUGGGCCUGAAGUCAGAGAGAUCUCAGUUUAAUAUAGCCUGAGACACUGACUUAGCUGUAUGAUUCUGGGCAAAUCACAUCCCCAUGUUUGCUUGUUUCCUUACCUUUAAAAGGAGCUACAGAAGGAAAUGGCAAACUCCUCCAAUGUCUUUGCCUAGAAAUCUCCAAAUGGGGUCACAACCCCAAAGAUACAACAACUGAACAAACAAUUGACAGAGACGAUGAUUUAAGAGUUAAGUCUUGCAAGGAGGACACUACAUUACAGAUGCAUUGUGAAAUAUUAGAGAGCCCCAAAGGAACCAGAAAGGCUGCACAGCUGAAGACCAGAAGAUGACCACAGACAACAGCUCAGCAGAGAUUAGUCCCUCUGAAGAUGUUCUCAGAGGCAUCUAAUGGCAAAAAGAUCAUAAAAAAGGCACCUGUUCACUCGGUGAUAUCACCAUAGUAAUCAGUCAUGAAUUAUGCAGACAUGCAAGUGCUCUAGUUAUGUAUGUUCCUUAUACUUAUGUCCUUACACACAUAUUCUCUUAUAAGUAUUCCUGGACUAUGUUUCUUUUCCCAGAGGUUACAUAAUAAUCUAAGGCAGUGGGAGUUAGGAGAAGGGGAAUUGGUUUUUGUCUUUUAUUUUACUAUGCUAAUUAAAA
RNAcentral lists this long non-coding RNA (1154 nucleotides) under Sarcophilus harrisii (Tasmanian devil). Its description in RNAcentral is "lncRNA (ENSSHAG00000022971.1)". Lineage: Eukaryota; Metazoa; Chordata; Mammalia; Dasyuromorphia; Dasyuridae. The record is from RNAcentral.